GUACUGUCUCCUUUUUCUAAUCAGUGAAACUAAUCUCCCCGUGAAGAAGCGGGGAUACUACUAUAAGACGAGAAGACCCCAUGGAGCUUUAAACCCAACUACACCCCUAUUUACAACAACUACUUAACCAAUUGGACACUGUAUGCUUGGUUUUAGGUUGGGGCGACCACGGAGUAAAAAAUAACCUCCACGAUAAAUGGGCUUACCCCCUUAUCUAAGAGCCACACCUCUAAGAAUUAAAAUAUUAAUAUAAUAUGAUCCUUUCUUGAUCAACGGACCAAGUUACCCUGGGGAUAACAGCGCAAUCCAUUUCAAGAGCCCCUAUCGACAAAUGGG
This 336-nucleotide ribosomal RNA is filed under the name Mantidactylus sp. 48 MV-2009. Its description in RNAcentral is "partial 16S ribosomal RNA". It matches the Rfam family "Bacterial large subunit ribosomal RNA", at positions 2013 to 2516 of the family's 2925-position model. Lineage: Eukaryota; Metazoa; Chordata; Amphibia; Anura; Mantellidae. The record is from RNAcentral.